ACUUUGAUCUUGCUGAGGGUUCCUUCCUGUGUCUCCUUGGCUGGCGCGCUUCUGUGAAGCGAGUGGCAGCUGUGGGGGGCUCCACGUCCCAGGAACUGAGGGUGGUCUCAGCUGACGGGCAGCGAGGAGCCGCGGCCCUCUGUCCAACAGCCCACGAGGAGCUGAAUUCUGCCAGCAACCAGAAAAAACUUAUUCUGGACCAGCUAAACAACACCUCCUCCAUGAAACCCUCUGAGAUUGAUCCCUGCUGUGGGAUUUCACCAUCUCACUCUCUAUCCUUCCACCCUGUACCACCUGCCAUCCCCUGUGGUUGCCUGCACACAGCGACCCACACCUCACCUUCUUAUUUUACACCCAGGGCAUAUUAGGUCACAGGCAUGCAAUAAAUGUGGGCUGAAUUUA
Long non-coding RNA from Phyllostomus discolor (pale spear-nosed bat), 402 nucleotides. RefSeq lists it as uncharacterized. NCBI's taxonomy places the organism in Eukaryota, Metazoa, Chordata, Mammalia, Chiroptera, Phyllostomidae. The record is from RefSeq and is a predicted model, not a curated record. The transcript has 2 exons.